Molecule: ribosomal RNA, 301 nt
Filed under: uncultured bacterium
Lineage: Bacteria
Description: partial 16S ribosomal RNA
Rfam family: Bacterial small subunit ribosomal RNA
Source: RNAcentral
CAGCAGCCGCGGGAAAACGAAGGGGGCUAGCGUUGUUCGGAAUUACUGGGCGUAAAGCGCACGUAGGCGGAUAUUUAAGUCAGGGGUGAAAUCCCAGAGCUCAACUCUGGAACUGCCUUUGAUACUGGGUAUCUUGAGUAUGGAAGAGGUGAGUGGAAUUCCGAGUGUAGAGGUGAAAUUCGUAGAUAUUCGGAGGAACACCAGUGGCGAAGGCGACUCACUGGUCCAUUACUGACGCUGAGGUGCGAGAGCGUGGGGAGCAAACAGGAUUAGAUACCCCAGUAGUCCCUGUCUCUUAUAC